Molecule: ribosomal RNA, 525 nt
Filed under: Triticum aestivum (bread wheat)
Lineage: Eukaryota; Viridiplantae; Streptophyta; Magnoliopsida; Poales; Poaceae
Description: partial small subunit ribosomal RNA
Source: RNAcentral
AUGUUGUUGUUCGUGGCUGACCCCCCUUGUGUUCGUGCUGCUUCUGCUUACUGUGCUCACAUGCGGAGGUCGUGCGUCCGCCUUGAUUUAUACAUCGCCUUUAUUGCGGACCUCCAGGUCGUCGUCAGGCCACGUCGACGCCACUUGCAUCAAACCCGAGGGCAGGGCUCUUCGAACCCCGUGGAAGGGCGGCCUGGGAUGAGCGAACCACACAAAGGGCAGAACAUCCGGAAGCCGGUAAAGGAUGGUUUAACCAUCAGGAAGCCUCAGAAGAUCCACUACAGGUUUCAUGCAAGGAGGGCACAUGAGGCCAAGCAGAAGGGCCAUCACUCUGGAUAUGGUAAGCAUAUGGGUACUAGGGAGGCUAGGCUCCCCACCAAGAUCAUGUCGAUGAAGAGAAUGCGCAUCCUGAGGCCUCUUCUGCGCAAGUACCGUGAGGCCAAGAAGAUUGACACGCACAUGUACCAUGACAUGUACCUAAAAGUCAAUGUAACAUGUUCAAUCACAGGAGGUGUCUGCAUGUAA